GCCGGAGUGGUGGAAUUGGUAGACGCAGCGGACUCAAAAUCCGCCGGGCUUAUGCCCUUGAGAGUUCGAGUCUCUCCUCCGGUACCA
This 87-nucleotide transfer RNA is filed under the name Desulfobotulus alkaliphilus. RNAcentral's name for it is "tRNA-Leu". It matches the Rfam family "tRNA". From Rfam's summary of the family: Transfer RNA (tRNA) molecules are approximately 80 nucleotides in length. Their secondary structure includes four short double-helical elements and three loops (D, anti-codon, and T loops). The record is from RNAcentral. RNAcentral also lists the same sequence under 4 other names. Lineage: Bacteria; Pseudomonadati; Thermodesulfobacteriota; Desulfobacteria; Desulfobacterales; Desulfobacteraceae.